ACCCUUAUCGGUGGAUCACUAGGCUCGUGGAUCGAUGAAGAACGCAGCAAACUGCGAUAAUUAUUGCGAACUGCAGAAGUAUUGAGCACAAAAGUUUUGAACGCAAAUGGCCGCAUUGGUCAAACUCUUUGCAACGUCUGGUUCAGGGUCAUUUUCUCUUAUAGCGGAAGCUUUAAUUUCUAUAAUGAUGUUGUUGCUUUAUAUUUUAAAAGGAUUUUUGUUUAUUCAUGUAUUAAAUCUAACUGUGAAAAUCAAACAAUUUUGACCUGAACUCAGUCGAGAGCACCCGCUGAACUUAAGCAUAUCAGUAAGCGGAGGAAAAGAAACUAAAUAGGAUUCCCCCAGUAACGGCGAGUGAAAAGGGAAAAGUCCAUCGCUAAAUCGUUUUGCCUCAGGCAUUAUGAGGUGUAGCGUAUAAGUCGUAAACUUUGAUCUUUUGUCUCAAACAAGUCCCCUUGACAGAGGUUCCACAGAAGGUGCAAGUCCUGUACGUUGAGAUAAUUGAUCGAUAUUUGCGUGCUUUAGAGUCGGGUUGUUUGGGAUCGCAGCCAAAGUCGGUGGUAAACUUCAUCUAAGACUUAAUAUUGCCACGAGACCGAUAGCAAACAAGUACUGUGAAGGAAAGUUGCAAAGCACUUUGAAGAGAGAGUUAAAGAGGACGUGAAACCGGUAAGGUGGAAACGGAUAGAGUCGGCGUAUCAUUCAAUUAUUCAGUUACAUUAUUUUUAUGUUGUGACCUCUGAGCUCCAGAUUGGGACAGAGGGAAUCAGCAUAAUUUUUUGUGGUGCAUUUACUUGAUUGGUGCUUGGGGAUGUUUGAGGCAGAUUUGUUUCCGUCGUUUUGAGGCCAGCUUGCUGGUACCCAAACGGUGUUAGCAUUUUUUGUCUUGGGCAUUUGAGUAUGGCUCACGUGUAUUUAUUGGACAGAUCUGAGUGUAAGUUACGGUCGCAUGCGACACGUGCUUUUCAAUUAGUUCGGUCCAGUUAAUGCUCUCGUACUCGUUCCCCAUGUAAAAGCCGGUCAUCUAUCCGACCCGUCUUGAAACACGGACCAAGGAGUUUAUCGUGUGCGCAAGUUUUUGGGUGUUAAAAACUUAAAAGCGAAAUGAAAGUAAAUGACUCUUUAGAGUCUGAUGUGCGAUCUUGUAAAAAAGUGUAGCAUGGCCCCAUUCUAACUGUUUACAGUAGGGUGGCGGAAGAGCGUACGCGGUGAGACCCGAAAGAUGGUGAACUAUUCCUGAGCAGGACGAAGCCAGAGGAAACUCUGGUGGAAGUCCGAAGCGGUUCUGACGUGCAAAUCGAUCGUCUGACUUGGGUAUAGGGGCGAAAGACUAAUCGAACCAUCUAGUAGCUGGUUCCCUCUGAAGUUUCCCCCAGGAUAGCUGGAGCUCAAGAGUAGUUAUACUCGGUAAAGCGAAUGAUUAGAGGACUUGGGAACGAAAUGUUCUUAACCUAUUCUCAAACUCUAAAUGGUUAUGAUGUCAAAGUUGCUUGAUUUUGAACUUUGGCGUUGAAUACGAGCUCCAAGUGGGCCAUUUUUGGUAAGCAGAACUGGCGAUGUGGGAUGAACCAAACGCGGAGUUGCGGUGCCAAAGUAUCCGCUCAUUAGACCCCAUAAAAGGUGUUGGUUGAUACAGACAGCAGGACGGUGGCCAUGGAAGUCGGAAUCCGCUAAGGAGUGUGUAACAACUCACCUGCCGAAUCAACUAGCCCUGAAAAUGGAUGGCGCUGGAGCGGGUCACCUAUACUCUGCCGUCAUAAGCUUGUAUUUUGUACUAAGGAAGCCCAGCGUUGCUUAACUUGCCAGAUCGGACGGGAUGGCGUGCUUUCAACGCGGUAUGGUCGUAAUCAAUGGGUUGUCAAUUUCUUAAUAUUUAAAACAAAUUUCGCUGAGGCAAAGUGGGCGUGGAUUUCGAUGUUCGCUGUUCGCGGGAAUGGUUUAAAGGAAAACUCAAAUUGGGCUAAUCUAGAAACUCGUGGAGAGAAAUAAUAGGAUUAAAAAAUUUUUUGAAAAAUUUAAAGUUUAUUAUUAUAAUAAGCUUUGUUUUUUGAAGAAUAAAGUUUAUUGUUAUUUAUUUUUUAAAACUUUUAAAGUUUAUAAAAUUAAACUUAUAACAAUAAACUUCUAACAAUCCUUUAUUGACUCUCGCUGCAAAAUUAAUUUGGCUUCUGGCAAUUGUCAGGAAUUUAGCCGAUUAUAACUUUUGUGAAUUUAUAAUUAUAAUUAAUUAUUGACAUUCUUUUGCAAAGGAUAUUUAGUAUGUUAUCAGCUGUCAUUAAUUUUUAAUUUUCGACUUUUAUUUCGGGAUUUUGAAUUCUAAAAUUAUCAAUGUAAUCAUUAUUAAUGACAGCUUAAUUACCAGCAGUCUCGGUAAUUCAAGCUUUGCUAAAUACCUAAAUAAAAGAUAUCUGGUUGAUCCUGCCUGAACUGAUGUGUUUAUUUCAAAGAUUAAGCCAUGCAUGUAUAAGUUUAAUCGUUUAUCGAGAAACCGCGAACGGCUCAUUACAAUGGCCAUUAU
RNAcentral lists this ribosomal RNA (2518 nucleotides) under Meloidogyne incognita (southern root-knot nematode). RNAcentral's name for it is "eukaryotic LSU rRNA". The stretch from base 263 to 1856 matches the Rfam family "Eukaryotic large subunit ribosomal RNA". Lineage: Eukaryota; Metazoa; Nematoda; Chromadorea; Rhabditida; Meloidogynidae. The record is from RNAcentral.